UACGUAGGGGGCAAGCGUUGCUCGGAAUUACUGGGCGUAAAGGGCGCGUAGGCGGCACGGCAAGUCGGGAGUGAAAGGCCUGGGCUCAACCGAGGAACUGCUUUCGAGACUGCCGAGCUAGAGUGCGGAAGGGGCAACUGGAAUUCCCAGUGUAGCGGUGAAAUGCGUAGAUAUUGGGAGGAACACCAGUGGCGAAGGCGGCUCACUGGCCCGGUACUGACGCUGAGGCGCGAAAGCGUGGGGAGCAAACAGG
This 253-nucleotide ribosomal RNA is filed under the name uncultured bacterium. RNAcentral's name for it is "partial 16S ribosomal RNA". It matches the Rfam family "Bacterial small subunit ribosomal RNA", at positions 524 to 776 of the family's 1533-position model. The record is from RNAcentral.